AUAAGCACAAAAAAUCUAACAAGAUUAGCAUCAAGAGAACUAACCGAGUAGGUCUCUUAGACAAGAUUAAAAGACUAAUAACGACACAAAGUUUUGAUAUAAAAAUCUAAAACAAAGGAAGCCUAUCAAAGACCGUUUGCAUCAACAAACAUCAAAUCUUAAGCUGUGCAUAGCUCCAAGAUCCAACCACCACAGAACAAUACAAGCUUCAAGCUGUUACACAUAGUAGUCUCUAAGAGCCAACUUACACCAAACUUUUUUUCAGCAAUAGUGGAUGUGAACAAGAAAAAGCAAUAGUGGAUUCACUGUAAUACCCACUAAAAGUCUAAACAUACAAACAAACACCAUCAUUUCACAAUUUGAAAACAAUGAACAAAACUUUUCCAAACACACAAAAAUUCCUCAUGUAAUCCACAAACUAUAACCAUUUUCAAAAUCAAAAUGCAGACCCUAUGAUAAGAGAAGAUUCACUCCAACAUAACCAGUAAAGAAGCAAGAGCGUUGAGUAGCUACAACAAACCUUCAAGAUUAGCAGAGGCAAGCCAGGGCAGUAAGAUGAGUGAAAGCAUGCAGUGUGAGGAAGACGAGGAAUAUAGCUGCCCGGAACGGUACUGCCCGCUCUGCCCUAUUUGGCAACUCAAAAAAUUAUGUUCGCGUGAGAUCACUGAAAACGACGUCACUUGGAUUUUGGGCAGUAGUUGAAGCUCAGCUCCUCACCCGUUGCUCCUGUCCUGGUCAAACCUCUGUGGGCCAUUUUUCUUUUCUUUUGUUUUUCUUAAUUUAAAACCAUUAAUUUAUAUAAAAAAACUUAAAAAGUUUUAUUAAUGGUGAAAAUGAGUAUAUAUA
Raphanus sativus (radish) is the source of this 846-nucleotide long non-coding RNA. RefSeq lists it as uncharacterized. Lineage: Eukaryota; Viridiplantae; Streptophyta; Magnoliopsida; Brassicales; Brassicaceae. The transcript has 2 exons. The record is from RefSeq and is a predicted model, not a curated record.